Molecule: ribosomal RNA, 533 nt
Filed under: Yarrowia deformans
Lineage: Eukaryota; Fungi; Ascomycota; Dipodascomycetes; Dipodascales
Description: partial large subunit ribosomal RNA
Rfam family: Eukaryotic large subunit ribosomal RNA
Source: RNAcentral
GCAUAUCAAUAAGCGGAGGAAAAGAAACCAACAGGGAUUGCCUCAGUAACGGCGAGUGAAGCGGCAAAAGCUCAAAUUUGAAACCCUCGGGAUUGUAAUUUGAAGAUUUGGCAUUGGAGAAAGCUAACCCAAGUUACUUGGAAUAGUACGUCAUAGAGGGUGACAACCCCGUCUGGCUAACCGUUCUCCAUGUAUUGCCUUAUCAAAGAGUCGAGUUGUUUGGGAAUGCAGCUCAAAGUGGGUGGUAAACUCCAUCUAAAGCUAAAUACUGGUGAGAGACCGAUAGCGAACAAGUACUGUGAAGGAAAGGUGAAAAGAACUUUGAAAAGAGAGUGAAAUAGUAUGUGAAAUUGUUGAUAGGGAAGGAAAUGAGUGGAGAGUGGUUUAGGUUUCAGCCUUCUUUCGAGGGGGUGCACUACCAACGCCGAGUCAUUGAUAGCGAGACAGGGGUUAUAAACGGACGGCACUUGUGCUAUUCUCCUAACCCCUCUACUGCCACCAACGACAUAAUCCACCCAUUUCACCCGUCUUGA